RNAcentral lists this long non-coding RNA (6783 nucleotides) under Musa acuminata (dwarf banana). Its description in RNAcentral is "long non-coding RNA (MACU_LNC003597)". Lineage: Eukaryota; Viridiplantae; Streptophyta; Magnoliopsida; Zingiberales; Musaceae. The record is from RNAcentral.
UCUUCUCCCCCUUACAAAUUCCCCACCUCCCCCCCUCGGAUCUGCACAACACAGAGCACGAAGCCUAAGACUCGCAGUUAGAUGGCUUCGUCCAGCAUUCUCUCCCUCUCCUUCUUCUUCUUCUUCUUCUUCUCCCUUCUUGUCACCCUCUCCCAUGCCGCCACCUUCGAGAUCGUGAACCGAUGCUCUUACACAGUGUGGGCCGCGGCCGUGCCUGGCGGCGGACGCCAGCUCAACCAGGGGCAGUCGUGGACCAUCAACGUGAACGCGGGAACCACCGGCGGCCGCAUCUGGGGCCGCACCGGCUGCUCCUUCGACGGGAGCGGACGCGGGCGGUGCCAGACGGGCGACUGCGGCGGCGUGCUGUCAUGCACGGCGUACGGCAGCCCGCCCAACACCCUGGCGGAGUUCGCGCUCAACCAGUUCAACAACCUCGACUUCUUCGACAUCUCCCUGGUCGACGGCUUCAACGUGCCAAUGGACUUCAGCCCCACGUCAGGCGGCUGCCGCGGCAUCCGGUGCGCGGCGGACAUCAACGGGCAGUGCCCCGGGGCGCUGAAGGCGCCGGGCGGCUGCAACAACCCCUGCACCGUGUUCAAGACGGACCAGUACUGUUGCAACUCCGGCAGCUGCAGCCCGACCGACUACUCCCGGUUCUUCAAGAGAAACUGCCCCGACGCCUACAGCUAUCCCAAGGACGAUCAGACGAGCACCUUCACCUGCCCCGGCGGCACCAACUACAGGGUUGUCUUCUGCCCUUGAGAUCACUGACGCCACUAAUAAGCCGCCCUCGUGCAGGCAACCACGCAUAUAGAUAUAUAUACUAGUCUCCUACAAUACAAAUAAGAUGUCAAGAGUGAUGGAAGGUAUUAGCCUUCUCUUGGGCUAAUACUGUUGACUGAUGUAAUAGAAGUGGUGCAACCAACUAAUAAGAUGCAUAAUAUCAUCACAGCAUGAGUGCUUUUCCAUUGAUGUUUGAAUCAUUUUGUGAGAGCAAUCAGCUUAUGCAAUCAGCAAAAAGAAUAAUUAAACCAUUUCUAUUUAUGUCUUGUUGGCUUAAAACAUGAAUUGAUUUUGAAACAUAAUGAACCCUACAUAUAUAACUUCAUAAAAGAUAUCUCAAGGACCAUACAUUAUACAUACAUAUAUACAUAUAUAUACAUAUAUAUACACAUAUAUAUAUACAUAUAUAUACACAUAUAUAUACAUAUAUAUAUAUAUACAUAUACAUAUAUAUAUAUAUAUNNNNNNNNNNNNNNNNNNNNUAUGUAUAUAUAUAUAUGUAUAUAUAUAUAUAUCAUUUAGGAUGAUGAGUCAUCGCCUAUCCAAUUUGGACCUCUGCCAUUCUCCGUAGAAACUUUGCGUAGCCAUUUUCCAAUACAAUUGCGCGUUGACCAGAGUGCGUCCAUGUGAUCCUCCCCGGUAAGUUUGGUGCCCGAAAUUAUCCGGCAAGUAUGGCUUUAAAUAUUGGAAUUAGUUGCUCUUUGUUUUACGUAGGCCGAUCAAGAUGAACAGAGAGAAUGAUGCUGACUAAUUGAGCCCUGACCAAUCGAGGGCUUCAGGACUCGAGCCCCGACGCGCCCUCGGGAAGCUGCCGCGGGAGGCGGACAUCGAUGGGCAGUGCCCGCAGGUGUUGAGGGCGCCGCGGCGGGUGCACCGCUCGACCGUGUCCAAGGCGGACCGGUACUGCUGCAGCUCCUGCAACUGUGCGUCAAGCGGCUACUUCAGCUUCUUGAGGAGGAACUGCACCGAUGGCUAUAUCUUCCCACAACCUUACGGCCUGGCUUCCACCACUAGUUUCUACGGUAGUCUUCCUCCUCCAAGAGUCGAAUUCAGCUUCCUACAAGAUUAUAAUGAUGGUUUGUAUCAAUUAGUUGUUAAAUUGUAUUUUGGAACCUAAUACAUAUUUUAAAUAUAAAUUCAUAUUUAAAGUUUCUUUAACAUCACAUUUGUCAUGAAUAUAGUGUCAGUAAAUGCUUAAAUUCUGAAACUAUCUUAGAAUAAUUAUAACAUCUCGAGUAAUCUCACAUAAAAAAUGAAUAAGAUUAAAAUUAACUUAUGAUAGUAUAUUACUAUCAAUAUUAAUUUGAAUAUUUUGAUUGCUUGGAUUCAAGAAAAUUGAUAAGUCAAUUAGUUAAUCAAUUGUGACAUUCGAUAUCAAAUUAGUAUUAGGAUAUAGUAUAAUCAAAUUACUAUUAGCGUAUCGUGAGUGAGCUUCGUACUCGUUCAUUGUGAAGUCAUCUUGGGCUAUGUCUUACAUGCCGCGCUAUAUUGAGUCUUUGACAAUGAUUAAUUUUUUUUUUAUAGUUCACACAUAAAAAUAGAUUUUGAACUAUUUAAUUUUAAAAAUCAUAUUAUUUAUUAUAAAAUAUAUUUAUUAAAAUUUAAUUAACUAAUAAAAUUAUUAACUUAUUCACAUAAUUAAGAAAAUCAAUUUUAAUCAUUUUCUUAGCCAUACUAUACAAACAAAAUCACAAUGUAUAUAUUUUUCUUAAAUUUUUAUCUUAAAUGCAUGUUGCUAAUUAUAAUACUUGAUUUAUAUUUAGAUUUAUAUGAUAGUUGAUUAAAAAUAUUAUUUCUUCUCUUAUGUAAUUUUAUCUUUUUAAUAAUCUAUUGUUUAUUAUAUUUUAAUGACUCAAUGCUUGGGAUUAGAUGUUUUUUACUAUAAUUUCAUAAUGCUAUAAUUUAGAAUUGAAGAAAUUGAUUAGGAUUUGGGUUAUAUCUCACACGUACAAUCUUAGAGUUUGAGUUGGGUUUUAAUAAGGAUCAUUUAUUUUUUAUAUAAUAUUUAUUUCCUAUGAUUCACACAUAAAAAUAAAAUUUAAAUUAUUUACUUUCUAAAAAUUGCAUCACUCGUUGAGAAACGAAUCAAUUAAUAAUUUAAUUAAUUUAGUAAUCAUAUUACAUAAAUAAAAUCAUAAUGUGUAGUAUUUUAAAAUUUUUUAUCUUACAUGCAUGAUGCACGAUGAUAAUUAUAAUCCUUGGUUUCUAUUAUAUUUAUAUAGUAAUUUAUUAAAAAUAUUAUUUUCUCACUAAUGUAAUUUUAUUUUAAAAUUUAUUACUAUUUAUUAUGUUUUUAAUGACUCAAUACUAAUGAUCAGAUAUUCUAAUUAGUAGUCAUAUUAGUAAUCAUUAAGAAAUUUAAUUUAAAUUAUUUCAGUAAUAAUAUUACAUAAAUAAAAUCAUAAUGUGUAGUAUUUUUAAAAUUGUUAUCUUACAUGCAUGAUGCAUGAUGAUAAUUAUAAUACUUGGUUUCUAUUAGAUUUAUAUAAUAAUUUAUUAAAAUAUUAUUUUCUCACUUAUGUAAUUUUAGUUUUAAAAUUUAUUACUAUUUAUUAUGUUUUUAGUGACUCAAUACUAAUGAUCAGAUAUUCUAAUUAUAUUUUUUAUAUUUUAAAAUUAAGAGAAUUGAUUAAGAUUUAAGUUGAAAUCAACAAACAAUUAGAGCUAACCCAUAGGCUAGCCACAACUCGUAGAUUAAGCUCAGCAAGCAAGUCAACCCAUAGCCUAUAGGACUCCAAUAUGAUCAGUUAUGUAAUGUACAGACCAAGUCAGAUUUCAUAAACUUAGAUAGAUUCAAGGUAAUUCUAAACUUAUUUAGUCUAUUCAUGUCUAUCUAAUCUAAAUCGAACUCAAUCUAGUCCAAAGUAUACAAGUCUAAGAUGAUUCUAGACUGAUUAAAUGAGAAUUAAAAAUCGAUUUUAUUAUACUAGAGUUAAAUCGAGUUCAAUUGAUUUUAAUUAAACUCGUUUAGAUCGAUUAAGUUCUAGUUAAAUCAGGUUCAAUUAGACCGAUUGAGUUAAGUUAGAUAAAACCUAGGGAUAUGAGUUAUAAAUAAUAUUCAUCAAAUUUCUUCAAUCUAAUUUAUGCUAAAAUAGUUCAAUAAUAAAAAAUAAUAACUGCAAUAAUUAUUGAAUGUUAAUCAGUAUAAUGAAAAAUUCAUAUAAUAACUAUAAUUAUGAUAAGUCAUGAAUUAUAUUUUUAUAUAAUUUUCAAACAUAUUAUAUAAAUAAUCAAAUAAAUAUCCAAGAAAAAUAAUUAGAUUUUUAUUUAUCACAUGCAAAAUUUUAUCAAUAUGACAAAUAAGAAAAUUAUUAAAGAAAAAUCAUAAUUUAUAUUUUUAAAAUUUUGUAUGAACCCUUAUACCAAUCAACCCUAUUUAAUUAGGUAAGCCCAUAAUUGGACUACCUAAAUUGGGCUAACAAUUUGCCUAAUUAGACCCAUUAAGAUUAAAGUUGAUCAAAAUAAAAAAAAGAUCAAAAAUAACUUUUUUUUAAUUUGAUCAAAAACUUAAUUGGUCGAAUUUAAAUCCAACCAAAUAGUUAAAAUAUAGUAAUGAUUAAGCUCGUUUAAAAGAUUUGAUUAAAAUAAAUCAAAUUAAUAAAUUUUAUAAUUGAGGGCAUAUCUCAAAAUAUUUUAAUUCAAAAGGGUAAAACUAUAAUUUUACUGGGAUAUGUAGAGAAAAUAUCUAAUUUCUGAAGAAUAUAAUUAUCAAAAGGACACAAGUUGAAAUUAAAAGACUUUAUAAGAAUAAAUUUAUAAUUUUAAAAAUAAAUCCUAAUCUUUCACCCAGAAAGGCUCUCUCGCAUUUGUCAUUGGUUCCACCAUGCCCACACGCAAAAGUCAACACCGCAGUGUUCGCCCACCACCUGCAUGGACAACGAGGCAGUUGUCCUUAUGCAUUCAAACGAUAACCUCAUCGGUCGUCGCGUUGUGCCAUGCUCAUGAGUGGCUAUUAUCAUCGUGCGCUUGACUAUAACACUUCAAAAACAAUAUGUAUGUCACUGACCGGAAGCUAUCGCGUAGUUACGCACACAUGCCGAUCGAUAACCCCCAGAAUCACUUUGAUGUGUGACUGUGCUCGCUUGUCUUGCUACAUAGUCGUUGGGAACAAUGGCUUUCAGUGUCCAAUCGAUGUUGACCAUGGCCAACAAGCACUACCACAGUGGUAUUACUGUAACCAUUGUACGUAGUGAAGCUAUAUAGCCACUAUAGGUGCAUGCGCACAUAGUGGCACUGUUACAAUCAUCGCACUUAGUAUUAUACCCCAUGGUGCUUCCAUUAGGUACGCAAUUGCUACUCGCGAUUGAACUAAUGACAAUCAAAAGUUGUCGCUCUUAACCAUAUUGUUAUCGACAAUAAGCUAGUCACAGUGAUCCAUUGAUCAAGUACGAGAAAAUUCAUAUCUCCCACAAAUAGGUGAUAAGAUCGAUUAAAUAGAAAAAUAGAUCAAUAAUAUAUAUGAAUCAUUCAUACAUCGUAAAUAAAAAAUUGAAUAACACUUUUUCAUAAGCCAAAGAUGCUAACAAAUAUAUCUAAAAUAAUUUAUUUUACAAACAUGACUCUGAUAUCAAUUGUAAGUAUAAAAACCAUCCUUAUGCUAUUGUUAUGCAGAAAACUUUAACACCAAAAUCUAAAAUCAAAUAAUAAUAGAUAAGAUUCAUGAUACGUACAUUUUGAUGCUAGUUAAAAAAGCUCUUAUAUGAUCUAUAGGUACACCAUCGUUGGAUCUGAAAGUUAUAGUAAUAUCGAUCUAUAAGAAGAAUUAGACUCAUCGUUUUCUCAUUUUCUAUCCUUUAUAGGACCACUACAAUGGAUUUAGAGACUAAGGGGAGAUGAGAGAAGAUUUAUAAUUUCUCACUGACUUAUUCACAAAAAUUUAUAAUUUUUUAAUAAUAUUUUGUAAACACGUAUCGUUUUUAUCUUCUUAUAGUAUUUCUAGGUGAGAAUAGAAAAUCUAUGAUAAGUAAUGAAUAGGGUCUUUCUAAUCAAAAUCUAUCUCUUAACGAAUUUUAUGAUAAUUUAAUUUUUUAUCAAUCUAUAAUCAUAAUUAAAAUUUAAUCAUAUCUAUAAUAUAUCUUAAAUAAAUAAUUAGUGAUAUAUAAUCUGACACCUCUCUCUUCUCUCCCUUAUAAAUUCCCCACCUCUCCACCCCUCGGAUCUGCACAACACAGAGCACGAAGCCUAAGACUCGCCGUUAGAUGGCUUCGUCAAGCAUUCUCUCCCUCUCCUUCUUCUCCCUUCUUGUCACCCUCUCCCAUGCCGCCAACUUCGAGAUCGUGAACCGAUGCUCUUACACAGUGUGGGCCGCGGCCGUGCCCGGCGGCGGACGCCAGCUCAACCAGGGGCAGUCGUGGACCAUCAACGUGAAAGCGGGAACGACCGGCGGCCGCAUCUGGGGCCGCACAGGCUGCUCCUUCGACGGGAGCGGCCACGGGCGGUGCCAGACGGGCGACUGCGGCGGGUUGCUGGCGUGCACGGCGUACGGUAGCCCGCCCAACACCCUGGCGGAGUUCGCGCUCAACCAGUACAGCAACCAAGACUACGUGGACAUCUCCCUGGUCGACGGCUUCAACGUGCCUAUGGACUUCAGCCCCACGUCGGGCGGCUGCCGCGGCAUGCGGUGCACGGCGGACAUCAACAAGAAGUGCCCCACGGCACUGAAGGCGCCGGGCGGCUGCAACAACCCCUGCACCGUGUUCAAGACGGACCAGUACUGCUGCAACUCCGGCAGCUGCCAGCCGACCGAGUACUCCAAGUUCUUCAAGAGCAACUGCCCCGACGCCUACAGCUAUCCGAAGGACGAUCCGACGAGCCUCGUCGCCUGCCCCGGCGGCACCAACUACAGGGUUGUCUUCUGCCCUUGAGAUCACCGACGCCACUAAUAAGCCUCCCUCGUGUAGGCAACCACGCAGAUAUAUAUAUAUAUAUAUAUNNNNNNNNNNNNNNNNNNNNCCCGACGCCUACAGCUAUACCGAAGGACGAUCCGACGAGCCUCGUCGC